Molecule: ribosomal RNA, 255 nt
Filed under: uncultured bacterium
Lineage: Bacteria
Description: partial 16S ribosomal RNA
Rfam family: Bacterial small subunit ribosomal RNA
Source: RNAcentral
GAUCAUGGCUCAGGACGAACGCUGGCGGCGUGCUUAACACAUGCAAGUCGAACGGAAAGGCCCUGCUUUUGUGGGGUGCUCGAGUGGCGAACGGGUGAGUAACACGUGAGUAACCUGCCCCUUGACUUUUGGGAUAACUUCAGGAAACUGGGGCUAAUACCGGAUAGGAGCUCCUGCUGCAUGGUGGGGGUUGGAAAGUUUCGGCGGUUGGGGAUGGACUCGCGGCUUAUCAGCUUGUUGGUGGGGUAGUGGCUU